RNAcentral lists this ribosomal RNA (441 nucleotides) under uncultured Butyricimonas sp. RNAcentral's name for it is "bacterial SSU rRNA". It matches the Rfam family "Bacterial small subunit ribosomal RNA", at positions 355 to 794 of the family's 1533-position model. The record is from RNAcentral. Lineage: Bacteria; Pseudomonadati; Bacteroidota; Bacteroidia; Bacteroidales; Odoribacteraceae.
UGAGGAAUAUUGGUCAAUGGGCGAGAGCCUGAACCAGCCAAGUCGCGUGAGGGAAGAAUGGUCUAUGGCCUGUAAACCUCUUUUGCCAGGGAAGAAUAAAAGGUACGUGUACCUUCUUGCCAGUACCUGACGAAUAAGCAUCGGCUAACUCCGUGCCAGCAGCCGCGGUAAUACGGGGGAUGCGAGCGUUAUCCGGAUUUAUUGGGUUUAAAGGGCGCGUAGGCGGGACGUCAAGUCAGCGGUAAAAGACUGCAGCUAAACUGUAGCACGCCGUUGAAACUGGCGCCCUGGAGACGAGACGAGGGAGGCGGAACAAGUGAAGUAGCGGUGAAAUGCAUAGAUAUUCGGAGGAACACCAGUGGCGAAGGCGGCUUGCUGGGCUCUAACUGACGCUGAGGCUCGAAAGUGUGGGGAGCAAACAGGAUUAGAUACCCUGGUAGU